UCUUGUGCUCCGAUUAAAAAGUCUGUAUUUUGGUAAUUAUUGUGAUUUUCUUUGUGUAAGUGCAUUAUUAUGGAUGUAUGGAGGUUCCGAUGUAUACUUGGACUUGGAAUACAAGCAGUAUUUUUGAAGAAAAAGUGAUUCUUAAAGUUGAUGCAUACGGAAUUACUCAUUAGCAUAUCCUAAUUGCUGGGAUAUAUUCUGCAAAGACCCGAAAGCCGUUGAGCUGGUGACUGAGUUCUAGAAAGCAAGGAUUAUUACAUAUAGGAGCAAGUGCAAAGAAUGAUAGUGCCAAUAAUUUAAUAGGAAUAGUCUGCAGAGAGGAUGCCGGUGUGCUAAGACUGGCUGUAAUUUCGAAAUUAACACACGUCUCCCAGGUGCGAAAUUUUCUGACUGCAAUCCUGUUGCUGACUCGCGGACAGAAUUCUCAAAUAAGCCUCGCUGAUUCUUUUGACUCUCCUCUGCAUCAACAGGUGGCGCCACCUCCUCGAUCUGCUUUUUCGGAUUCUCCUAUUGCCAUGUCA
This is a long non-coding RNA of Stegodyphus dumicola, 521 nucleotides long. Lineage: Eukaryota; Metazoa; Arthropoda; Arachnida; Araneae; Eresidae. The record is from RefSeq and is a predicted model, not a curated record.